RNAcentral lists this ribosomal RNA (255 nucleotides) under uncultured bacterium. RNAcentral describes it as "partial 16S ribosomal RNA". It matches the Rfam family "Bacterial small subunit ribosomal RNA", at positions 524 to 776 of the family's 1533-position model. The record is from RNAcentral.
UACGGGGGGAGCAAGCGUUGUUCGGAUUUACUGGGCGUUAAAGGGCGCGUAGGCGGUCGUGACAAGUCACUUGUGAAAUCUCCGGGCUUAACUCGGAACGGUCAAGUGAUACUGUCGGACUAGAGUACAGAAGGGGCAACUGGAAUUCUCGGUGUAGCGGUGAAAUGCGUAGAUAUCGAGAGGAACACCUGCGGCGAAGGCGGGUUGCUGGGCUGAUACUGACGCUGAGGCGCGAAAGCCAGGGGAGCGAACGGG